Molecule: long non-coding RNA, 256 nt
Filed under: Lathyrus oleraceus (garden pea)
Lineage: Eukaryota; Viridiplantae; Streptophyta; Magnoliopsida; Fabales; Fabaceae
Description: Pisum sativum (pea) long non-coding RNA (PSAT_LNC001746)
Source: RNAcentral
UUUAUAAGGUUAUAUGUUAGGGAUUAGCUGAAAUAUCUAUGGGGAGGGAGGUUUAGUAUGUUGGACAUGCAAUAUGCUAUGUAUGUCGUGUAUGACUAAUUUUUCUUUUUUUCCUGUCUUUCUAUUUUAUUUUAUCUUCUCUUUUUUUAUUUAUUUGUCUUUUCUCUUUUUAUUUUUCUUUACUUUUCUUUUUUCUGCCUCCACUAACAAGUUUUACAUGUACUGGUGAUUGAAAUAUUCCUGCAGGAUUCCACGA